Molecule: long non-coding RNA, 3311 nt
Organism: Sarcophilus harrisii (Tasmanian devil)
Lineage: Eukaryota; Metazoa; Chordata; Mammalia; Dasyuromorphia; Dasyuridae
Source: Ensembl
AUAUUUACUUUUCAGAUGCUUUGAAAUGGGAUUCUACAAGUACUUCUCUGAUAAAGGAGAGUCACAAAAGUUCCAACGACAUGAAGUUGCAAAGUGAUUUUCUUGGCAAAUCACUGACAGUGAAUCAACGUCAAUUAGCAUCCACAAAAUUUGAGAGGAUUCCAUCCAAAGAAGGUGAAGCUGUAGCUGGAAUUGGGCCUGUCACUGAUUAUAAAGUUGGAAUUCAAUUAGAAAAACCAGUCCCCAAGAAGGAGUGUUCCAAGGAAAUAAAGUUGCAAAGUAAUUAUCCUGGCAACUCAUUGCCACCGAAUCAAAAUCAAGUACCAUCCACAAUAUUUGAAAAGAUUCCAUCCAUAAUAGGUGAAGCUGUAGUUGGAAUUGGGCCUGCCAUUGACUAUAAAGUUGGAGUUCAGUUAGAAAAACCAGUCCCCCAAAAGCAAUGUGAACCACCUCUACAGAAAGAGAAACAGAAAGAAGUAAAGAAAGACUUGAAACAAGAAUUGAAAUUUAGAGGACCAUCAGAAUUACCAGAAGCAUCAUCUGCUUUGGCAAAGAACUUAAGUGAUUCUGUGGAAAAAAAGAAAGAUAAAGGCCCUCUCAGUGUAGAUCUUCAGUCAUUUCCUGGACAAAGGGAAGAUAGUUCAGAAAAUGUCUUUUUAAAGAAUUUAAAGAUCAGCUUCUCAAAAAAUGUGCUUCAGUUUUCUUCUUAUAUGUGCUCAAAAAAGAGCACCCCACAGUCUAAAAAUAAGCCACAAAUUGAACGUACUUAUAAAGUAAAUGAAGAGAAUAUUGCUUAUGUUGCAAAAAAUAUAAAAAGAGCUGACUCAAAAUUCAGCAUAAAUAAAAUAAAGGAAGAUAGAUGGUUUGGUAUUGAAAUGACAUUUAGUCAGCACAAAAAUAUCACAAAUUUGGAAUCGGAUUCAGGUUUGCUCCAAUCAAGUGGUCCAGGAAGUCAUUUUGGUGUCCAGCUUACUCAUUCUGGCAAUAUGACAUCAAUCAACCAAGGAAAAAACCCUGAACUCAUUACUGCAAGAAAGUGUAAAGAAAAAACAAAACAUAUAGAAACCUCCUUCCAAAACAGUCAUCAUAAUGCCACUAAUUCUACACAUGAAGGGAGAUACUCCCUUUCACACGGGGACAAAAUCUCAAAAAUAUGCCUAGAUAAAGAAUUAAAGCAAGAUAAACAAAGAUUGAUAAAUGAAUUAGGAAUGUUGCAAGCAGAGUUCCUGACUUUGAAGAAAGAAAAAAUACAACCACAAAAAGAGGUGGAAGAGAAAGAGCAAAAGCAUCAACAGAAUAAAAUAAACAUAUUGGAGAGAAAAGAUGAUGAUGAAUUAACUGAAAACAGGAGAACGGGCAACGCUAAUGAGCAAUUUUCAGUGGAGAGCCACCAGCAUGGUAAAGAUGAGGAAAAUAAAAUUCCUGGGGAAGAAAUUCCAAUAAUGAGCAUUUCUUCCAAAGAAAAUUUAGCACCUGUACACCAUGUUUUAAAGGGGUAAGUUUGUCAAAAUAUUUAACUGGAGUAUUAUUAUCAAAUAUUAACAUUCAUGGUAAUGUUCAGUUUACUCUAACAAUCUAGAUCCAUAUUCAUUCUGCAUCCACUUGCUUUUUUUGCUGAGAGAGAACUCUCAUGAAGUCCCAUGAAUGUAUAUUGUUCUAUUGAUGUAAGUAUAUUCUUUUAUUUUGGAAGAAACAUCAGUGUUUAUUGAAAGAAGGUAGGUAGUCUUUGAUGAGAUCCAAAAGAUCAGCAUAUGGUAUAAGAUAUGAAUGGCAAGGAGAAAAGCAAGAUAGUUUGCAAAAGUUUGCAAAUUUAUAAAUAAUAAGUGCUAAUGAGAUAUGAAAAUAGGCUUUUAGCUACUCCAAAAGGUAGAUGAGUUCUCUUAGUCAUUACAAAGUUUCCCAUCAGUAGAAAUAUUCAAGAAUGAAUCAAUUUAAGUGCUUAUCAUGGCCAAGCACUGAGGAAAGUCAGACAACCUAGAUUCUUAAGAAACUCACACUUAUAAUUGUAGACAUGCAAAUCAUUAAAAGGAUAAUUACCAACUUCAUGCUAUGUAAGAUGGGCCCGAGGAGAGAAAGGUUAAUGUCCUUUCAGGAUGGCAGAAAAAAAAAGGGAAUGGACAGAAAUGUAGAGAGAAGUGCUCAUAUAGCUUUUGUUUUAUAAGGCCUUCUGGUGCUCAUAAGGUUUCUGGGUAGAAUGAGAGCAAAAAGCAGGUAGCAAAUGUUACCUGCUUUCCACUUAAAAAAUCUUAGGAUGAUAGAUAUGCUAGGCAGGAAUAUGGUAAAAAGGGUUCACAAUUUAUGUUGCAGUUGUACUUACUAAAAGACCUCUAAAAUUCCAAUUCAUGAGAGUUGUAAUGUGGAAGUGUUCUGGAUUAACAUUGAGAAAGUCUAGAAUGUUUCAAAAAAAAAAAAAAAAGCAAACCUGGAUUUACUUUUAACUUAAAAUAAUUUAACAGCCUUAAAAAACUUAUCCUAAAAUAAUUAAUUUCAACCAUACAUAGCCUAUUGGAGAGACACUGAAAAGGGCAUCUUUUCCUGCUCAAUGACAGUACUCAUACAUUGUGACCUCAGUUGCAUGCAGACAGAAAAUUAUUUACUGUUCCUUUGAUUAGUGGGGAGUAACCAUUUUAGACUUAUUUGUGAUAGACAUUAAAGUCAUGGACAAUUGAAAGCUUCUUGUCAUCUUUUACUUUUUUAUCAGCCUCAUUUCCCAAUAUAUCUCUGCUCACCCUUCUAGUGAAACAUUCCUAAUCACAUAUCAAUAUUACAUGCAGUGUCCCAUAUUGAUAGUCUCCCACUCUGAAUAAAUAGGAAGUGGUACCUUCUCAUCUGGACCAAGCUUAGACAUUAUAAUUUCACAGUAUUCAGUUGCAGUUACUUUAUUGUUCUUAGCAAUUAGAUUAUUGCAGUUAGAAUGUAUAUUGUUGUCCUGGUUACUUUUAUUUCAUUUUGCAUUAAUUCAUAUAAAUAUUCUCAUCCUCCCAUUUAAUAUUUCUAAACAUACAUAAUAGUGUUCCAUUCCAUCAACAAACCAUAAUUUAUUUAGCCAUUCUUUAGUCAGUGAACACCUACUCUAUUCCCAGUUAUUUGCUACUACAAAAGAUCCUUGCUAUGAAUAUUUUGGUUUUUAAAACUUUUCUUGCCAUUCGGUAAAAAUAACUCUUUGGGGUAUACUUUUAGCAGUUGGAGAGAGGAGACCAUGGUAAAGCACCAGAGAAAUUACUAUUCUUUUGGAAAGUUUGAAGAAAAGGAAAUCAAAAUAGGGUAAGUUGCCAGAGAACAUUCUAUAUUAAUUCUGUGAAAUCUGUGAG